AGUGAACGCUGGCGGUAGGCCUAACACAUGCAAGUCGAACGGCAGCACAGUAAGAGCUUGCUCUUACGGGUGGCGAGUGGCGGACGGGUGAGGAAUACAUCGGAAUCUACUUUUUCGUGGGGGAUAACGUAGGGAAACUUACGCUAAUACCGCAUACGACCUACGGGUGAAAGCAUAGGAUCUUCGGACCUUGCGCGAUUGAAUGAGCCGAUGUCGGAUUAGCUAGUUGGCGGGGUAAAGGCCCACCAAGGCGACGAUCCGUAGCUGGUCUGAGAGGAUGAUCAGCCACACUGGAACUGAGACACGGUCCAGACUCCUACGGGAGGCAGCAGUGGGGAAUAUUGGACAAUGGGCGCAAGCCUGAUCCAGCCAUACCGCGUGGGUGAAGAAGGCCUUCGGGUUGUAAAGCCCUUUUGUUGGGAAAGAAAAGCAGCAGGUUAAUACCCCGCUGUUCUGACGGUACCCAAAGAAUAAGCACCGGCUAACUUCGUG
Molecule: ribosomal RNA, 492 nt
Filed under: uncultured bacterium
Lineage: Bacteria
Description: partial 16S ribosomal RNA
Rfam family: Bacterial small subunit ribosomal RNA
Source: RNAcentral